Molecule: transfer RNA, 94 nt
Filed under: Caldilineae bacterium
Lineage: Bacteria; Bacillati; Chloroflexota; Caldilineae
Description: tRNA-Sec
Rfam family: Selenocysteine transfer RNA
Source: RNAcentral
GGGAGUGGUUGGGCCCCGGUGGGCUCCCCGGUCUUCAAAACCGGUGGUGGGCGCUGGCAGCGGCCACGGUGGGUUCGACUCCCAUCCACUCCCG